This 2987-nucleotide ribosomal RNA is filed under the name Pelomyxa belevskii. RNAcentral's name for it is "partial small subunit ribosomal RNA". It matches the Rfam family "Eukaryotic small subunit ribosomal RNA". The record is from RNAcentral. Lineage: Eukaryota; Evosea; Pelobiontida; Pelomyxidae.
AGCAUCAUGCUCAUGCCAAAGAUUAAGCCAUGCACGUGCAAGCAUAAAUUUCAUUAAAAUAAAGUAAUUUUUUUUUUUUUUAAAAUUAUCAAAAAUGUGAAGCUGCUCAUGGCUCCCUAAAUCAGUCUUGAGUCUAAAGUUUUACUUUUUAAUAUUUUUGGAUAACCAGACUAAAGACUGGCUAAUACAUGAGGAGAAAAUAGAGAUAAAGAUGGAAACGUAUGUGUGUGGUUGUAAGUCUGUGUGUGUUUGUUUCGAUUUUAGUGCGAUUUAAAAUUUCCCAUAGAAUAAUAUACAUAAUAUUUUUUAAUUCUUGAGAUGAAUAUGGUAAGAUAUGAUAUGUGUUUAUCCAUUUUUUUUCGUAAGAAAAAAAAAGUGGAACAAACGACCCUAAAUCAGCAAAAAAUAAAAAAAAUCAAUCAGUUUUUGUGUGAAAUUAUGAGAAACUGCUCCAUCUUUUCUAGUCAGCAUUGUAUUGUACUAAGAGAUGAGAAACACGGGUAACGGAAAAUCAGGGUUUGAUGCCGGAGAGGGAGCUCGAAAGAUGGCUCCCACUCCCAAGGGGGGCAGCAGGCGCGCAAAUUGUCCAAUCCUAACACCAAGUUUCUUUUAUUUUUUUAGAGAGAAACCACAAAGGGAGACAGUGACCACAAAUAACAUUUCUUCAGUAAUGUUUCGUUUUCUUCGAUUUCAUCUUUACCGAUGGGAUAGGAGAGGGUGAGAUGUUUAUAUAUCUGGAGUUGGGUGGAAUGAGAACAUUUCAAAAGAUUUAUUGAGCAACCAUUGGAGGGAAAGUCUGGUGCCAGCAGCCGCGGUAAUUCCAGCUCCAAUAGUGUAAGCUAAAGUUGUUGUGAUUGAAAAGCUCGUAGUUGUGAGUAUAUAUAUAUAUAUUUAUGUUCUUUUUUAUAACGAAAAAGAACGAAUAAAAAAAAAAUAUCGGUGUUUUUUGAAUUUCUUUUUUUUUUUUUUUAAAAGGAGGAGACACACGGAGAAAGAAUUUUCUUUCUUUUUUUAUGGUGUUAACACAAUAUAAAGUCGAUAUUAUUACUAACUUUACAUCAUUAUUUGCCUUGAAAAAAUUAAGGUGUUCAAAGCAGACUUUAAAAUGGAGCGAAGGAAAAUAAAUAAUUUAUAUAAAUUCUUUUUUUUCUUUUUUCUCUUGUGUCUUUGAAUAUCAUUAGCAUGGUACAAAACUAUCUAAAAAAAUUAUCAUAAAGAAAAAGGAACUCAAAAUAAUGUGGAUUUUUUGGAUUUCCCCUUUGGCUGUCCUACUGACUUUUUUUUUUUUAAACGAUUAUAUGGAUAGACAAGAAUAAUUCGAAAAAUUCAUUGGUGUUCAUUUUUUUAUUUUAAAAAUUAUAUAUACCAAAUGGAGGUGGUUGACAGGACGACCCUGAUUUACUUGAGAGAGGUGAAAUUCUAUGACCAAGUAAAGAAGAACAAAGGCAAAAGCAGGUGAAUUUUGGUGUGGGUCUUCCAUUUAUGUUUAUCUUUUUUUAAGACGAACGGAUAUCAUGGCCCGCAUCAAAGUAGGAGUAGGCACACCUUCAUACAAUCAAGAACGAAAGCUAGGGGAUCAAAGACGAUCAGAUACCGUCGUAGUCUUAUCUAUAAACUAUACAAGCCAAACCCUGAGAGAAUAAAUAAAUAUAAAAAAAAAAAGAAGAGGUUGUAGAUGUUAAUUCGUAUUUCUUUAUUUUUUUUAAGAAAUAUGAUAGGGUGUCUGACCUUUUUUUUUUUAUUAAAAGAAAUAUAACACAUUUUCACAGGAUUUUUUCUAUUAAAAAAUCGAGUCGAGAAAUCGUUGAGCGUUUGUGUUUCAGGGGGAGUAUGGCCGCAAGACUGAAACUUAAAGGAAUUGACGGAAAGGCACACCAGAGGUGGAGCGUGCGGCUCAAUUUGACUCAACACGGGAAAACUCACCAGGUCCAGACAUUAGAAUGACUGACAGACUUUUAUUUUUCUCUUUUUUUUUUUUUUUUUUUUUUUUAGAAAAAAAAAAAAGAAGAGAAAAAAACAAAUAUGAAGCUCUUUCACAAUUUUUUGGGUGGUGGUGCAUGGCCGUUCUUAGUUCGUGGAGUGAUUUGUCUAGUUAAUUCUGUUAACGAGCGAGAUCUCAACCUGCUAAAAAAAAGAAAAAUAAUACAUCUCGAGGUGAUUUUUUAAAAUGGUUUCUUUAAGAUAUAUCAAUAAUACAAUAAAAAGUAGGAUUAAUUUUUUAAUAAUAUUUUUUUUUUCCAUGCUAUUUUAUGUCAAAGUGAAAGGGUGUGGGUUAAAAAAAUGGAAAAAAAAAAGACUUCUUAGAUUAGCGUAUCAGUUUUUUUUUUUUUUUGUUCUCUUUUUUUUCUGUUAGUUUUUUUCCUUAGCGAAAGUCUCUGAGAGAGAAAGAGGGGGAAAGAAGAGAAAAAGCUGAUAUUUUAGGGACCAUCAACAUGAUUAACAAUUCAAAUGGAUGGAAGAGUGAGGCAAUAACAGGUCUGUGAUGCCCUUCGAUGUCUUGGGCUGCACGCGCGCGACAAUGACAUAGGCAAAGAGUAUAAAUACGUUUAAAAAUACUUUGUUUUUCUUUUGAUUUUAAAUUUUUUUUUGAACUGGGAGUGAGGAGAGAAAAAAAGUAAAUUUAAACUCCAUGGCUGAAGAGUUAAAAAGAUGCGAUUAACUUUUUUUUUUUAUAAAAAAAAGGUGAAAUAUACCGCUAUUUUAUUUGGAAAUCAUUCAAUAUAUGUCAUGCUGGGGAUAAAGCAUUGUAACUAUUGCUUUUGAACGUGGAAUCUCUUGUAGACGUUGGUCAUUAAGCCAACAUUGACUACGUCCCUGCCCUUUGUACACACCGCCCGUCGCUCCUACCGAUUGGAUGGGCAGAUGAAGGCUCAUUGCGAGAGGGUGCAUGUGUAGUAUAUAUUUUAUAAUUUUUUUAUAUGCCCAUGAACCUCGAGCGCGUCUGAAUAUUUUUAUCUAGAGGAAGGAGAAGUCGUAACAAGGUUUCU